Molecule: long non-coding RNA, 232 nt
Organism: Syngnathus acus (greater pipefish)
Lineage: Eukaryota; Metazoa; Chordata; Actinopteri; Syngnathiformes; Syngnathidae
Exons: 3
Source: RefSeq, a predicted model, not a curated record
CAAAUUUGAGUUGGAGUUCAGUAUUGACGGAGUGAAUUGGUAUCGCCCCCCAGGGCAGCCUUCUCUGGGGACGUACAUGCUAACCAGGCUCGUGUUCGCCAAGUACGUCCGCCUCCUGCCAAAGUUUUUUGGCCUUCGCUUUGACGUCUUAGGGUGCACGCCUGACGACACCUCUCGCGGCAUCUUUUGCAACAGCACAGGCACCAGCCUCGGCCUCGACGGUUCAAUGACG